RNAcentral lists this ribosomal RNA (416 nucleotides) under Babesia divergens. RNAcentral's name for it is "SSU rRNA". It matches the Rfam family "Eukaryotic small subunit ribosomal RNA", at positions 453 to 923 of the family's 1831-position model. Lineage: Eukaryota; Apicomplexa; Aconoidasida; Piroplasmida; Babesiidae. The record is from RNAcentral.
GACACAGGGAGGUAGUGACAAGAAAUAACAAUACAGGGCAAUUGUCUUGUAAUUGGAAUGAUGGUGACCUAAACCCUCACCAGAGUAACAAUUGGAGGGCAAGUCUGGUGCCAGCAGCCGCGGUAAUUCCAGCUCCAAUAGCGUAUAUUAAACUUGUUGCAGUUAAAAAGCUCGUAGUUGAAUUUUUGCGUGGUGGUAAUAUUGACUGAUGUCGAGAAUGCACUUCGCUUUUGGGAUUUAUCCCUUUUUACUUUGAGAAAAUUAGAGUGUUUCAAGCAGACUUUUGUCUUGAAUACUUCAGCAUGGAAUAAUAGAGUAGGACUUUGGUUCUAUUUUGUUGGUUUGUGAACCUUAGUAAUGGUUAAUAGGAACGGUUGGGGGCAUUCGUAUUUAACUGUCAGAGGUGAAAUUCUUAG